AGAGUUUGAUCAUGGCUCAGGAUGAACGCUGGCGGCGUGCUUAACACAUGCAAGUCGAACGGAACUCUCUGGAUCGAGGCUUCGGCCAAGUGAAUUUGAGUUUAGUGGCGGACGGGUGAGUAACGCGUGAGGAACCUGCCUUUCAGAGGGGAAUAACAGUUGGAAACGACUGCUAAUACCGCAUAACGCAUAGAGGCCGCAUGACCUUUAUGCCAAAGAUUAUAUCGCUGAAAGAUGGCCUCGCGUCUGAUUAGCUGGUUGGCGGGGUAACGGCCCACCAAGGCGACGAUCAGUAGCCGGACUGAGAGGUUGGCCGGCCACAUUGGGACUGAGAUACGGCCCAGACUCCUACGGGAGGCAGCAGUGGGGAAUAUUGGGCAAUGGGCGCAAGCCUGACCCAGCAACGCCGCGUGAAGGAAGAAGGUCUUCGGAUUGUAAACUUCUUUUAACAGGGACGAUAAUGACGGUACCUGUUGAAUAAGCUCCGGCUAACUACGUGCCAGCAGCCGCGGUAAUACGUAGGGAGCGAGCGUUAUCCGGAUUUACUGGGUGUAAAGGGCGUGUAGGCGGGAUUGCAAGUCAGAUGUGAAAACUCCGGGCUCAACUUGGAGCGUGCAUUUGAAACUGUAGUUCUUGAGUGAUGGAGAGGCAAGCGGAAUUCCUAGUGUAGCGGUGAAAUGCGUAGAUAUUAGGAGGAACACCAGUGGCGAAGGCGGCUUGCUGGACAUUAACUGACGCUAAGGCGCGAAAGCGUGGGGAGCAAACAGGAUUAGAUACCCUGGUAGUCCACGCCGUAAACG
Molecule: ribosomal RNA, 800 nt
Filed under: uncultured bacterium
Lineage: Bacteria
Description: bacterial SSU rRNA
Rfam family: Bacterial small subunit ribosomal RNA
Source: RNAcentral